RNAcentral lists this transfer RNA (50 nucleotides) under Acer caesium subsp. giraldii. RNAcentral describes it as "partial tRNA-Leu". Lineage: Eukaryota; Viridiplantae; Streptophyta; Magnoliopsida; Sapindales; Sapindaceae. The record is from RNAcentral.
AAAAUCCGUCGACUUUAGGAAAUCGUGAGGUUCAAGUCCCUCUAUCCCCC